RNAcentral lists this ribosomal RNA (453 nucleotides) under Diesbachia hellotis. RNAcentral describes it as "partial large subunit ribosomal RNA". The stretch from base 306 to 453 matches the Rfam family "Bacterial large subunit ribosomal RNA", at positions 2473 to 2621 of the family's 2925-position model. The record is from RNAcentral. Lineage: Eukaryota; Metazoa; Arthropoda; Insecta; Phasmatodea; Lonchodidae.
AGGUAGCAUAAUCAUUAGUUCAUUAAUUGUGAGCUUGUAUGAAUGGUUGGACGAAAUAUUUACUGUCUCAUAUUUAAUUUUAUAAUUUAAAUUUUGAGUUAAAAUGCUUAAAUAUUUUUAUAGGACGAGAAGACCCUAUAGAUCUUUACUUUAUUGAUGAUUUAAUUUUUUUGGUUUAUUUAUUAUUGAUUUAUUUUAUUGUUUAGUUGGGGUGACUUUGAGAUAAAAUUAACUCUUAUUUUUUUAUUCAAUUGUUUUUGUUUAUAUGACUUUUUAAUAUUGUUUUAAGAUGAAGAUACCUUAGGGAUAACAGCGUAAUUCCUUUUGAGAGUUCUUAUUGACAGAGGAGAUUGCGACCUCGAUGUUGGAUUAAGAUUAAUUUUAGGUGUAGAAGCUUAAUUAUUAAGUCUGUUCGACUUUUAAAUUCUUACAUGAUCUGAGUUCAAACCGGAG